Molecule: long non-coding RNA, 1114 nt
Filed under: Phaseolus vulgaris (common bean)
Lineage: Eukaryota; Viridiplantae; Streptophyta; Magnoliopsida; Fabales; Fabaceae
Description: long non-coding RNA (PVUL_LNC003630)
Source: RNAcentral
AUGGCCAGUGGUUAUGAGGUGAGUUACUCAGCAAAAAGCCCACUCUUAGACAACCUCUAAGCACUACCUAAGACACACUUAAAGCAAAGCAAAAUACAAAUGAAAUGUACAUAUAAGUCUUCAUCAAACACUACAUAUAAGUCUUCAUCAAACACAAUCUUGAAGGGGCAGCAACCAUCUUCAACACUCCCUUCUUGGUUCAUACUGGUGUCUCCGGUACUUCGGUAUAUUCACAUGAAGCUUCAUAGUGCCAAUGUAGAUCCGGUCGAGAUCUCCUUCUAGACGCACAACAUUUUUUACAUCAAGGAAUCGCACAAAACCGAACCUCCUUCCCCACUUGUUAGGUCUACGAGAGAUGAAAACCUCCUUCACCGUUGCCCAUUUUUGAAAUACCUUUGUCAUGUCCAACUCUCCGUACCCGUUGGGGAAGUUUGAAAAGAAGAAGGUAGAGCAAUCCUCUCCAUUCCCCAAUACCCCAUCCCUGCCGUAUCCCCGCUCUCCGUUCCUACUGUAGCGUGCCCUUCCCGUCAUAUCUUUAUCUACCACCUCUGAACAAACCUUGCGCAGCGGCGGUGAUGGCGGACAGUGAAGGGAAAAGUCAAUCAGAGAUAAUUUCAAAUGUGUUAAAAUUGUGUUUUCAUAUGUUUAUUUUAUUAUUAAUCAUUGUUGAUGUCUCAGUUUUUCAUUAUUUAUCUAAACUAAUUGCAUUUCCUUAAGGUUUUUUUCUUUUUUAUUUUCUAUUUUUAGAUUUUUUUUUUUCCAAAAAUAUAGAGUUUCUAAAAAAAUGUCAUAAAAAUUUCAUUUUUCAGCUUUUAUUUUGCCUAAACCAACUAAUGUAAUGGUUUGACCUUUCGAAGAGUUGAUUUGAAGCCAUAAUUGACCUAAGAAUAUGGAAGAAGUUGUUGAAGAAGGAAGGAGACUUGAAAAUUAGGAGUUUAACAAAAGAUAUGGAUACAAGACUUCUAGAAGAAAACUAAUAUUAUUUUUGUCUUUUCUAAUUCUUAGUUAUUUCGCUUUGUACAUAUGUCUAGCCUAUAUUGACUCUUUAUUUUACAUUUUGUCUCUUUAAAUAGACCUAGAAUCAGUGUAUUACUAGUAUAUAUUUAAACUCUCU